UUGGAAACUUACCCCUAUAAAGUACUAAAGAGUGGCAUAAAAUGUCUUAGGGAUUCACACAUUGCAUGGAAGAGUCCUGUGCUAAUUAAACCACUGUUGUCAAAGGCUCAUUCGAGGCGCGCUUAAGCCCUGAAACUCAAAAAAAUCACUUAGGUCUUAGGCUGCGCUUCAGUGUAGGCAAGGCACUAAGGCGUGCGCCUGAUUGCCAAUAAGUUCUAUCUUGAACAAAGCGGUGCAAAAUAAUAAAUAUAAUUGGCAAAAAGAUAUAUUAAUUGUUAAGAAAUCGUUAUGAAUGAAAUUCUUAAUUUUUCCUUGCAUUACAUAUAUGGUUUUAUUUUUUUCUAGAAAAGCCCUGAUAGAUCUGGAAACACCUGCAAUCAGCGAAUGAGAAGGGCUUUAAGGCAAGAUAAAUAAAAUGACUUUUCUGCAUGCCUGUUGACCCAAAAGCAUUGCCACCCCUUUGUUGCUAGUGUUCUCUGCUACCUUCUACCUGUAAAAGCUCAAUCUCACUCUUUGCCCUGCUUCUCCUCUCCCUUCGUCAAAAGAUUGAUAGACGGAAUGUCUUUUGUAAACCUAAGUGAGCUGUGGUUAACCAAUUUCCACUGUAAUUAUGCAGUGAAAAGUUGCUAAUUCCUGAAUAGUGCUUUUACUAUGUGAGACUUUAGUUAACUGAAGGGCUGCUGGUGACAAUCUUUAGUGUUUUAAGGUGGAAAUGUCCUCGGUGAAGAAAAGUUGAAGGGCCUAUGCUGUAUUAAUUUUUUCCCAAGCUAUGUUGCUCGGACUCUCCAAAAAUAUCGAUGGGUGCGUGUCGGAUCCUCCAAAAAUAGUUUAUUUUGGAGGAUCCGACACGGGUGCGGCAGCUGUUUUGGAGAGUCCGCGCAACAUAGUCCCCAAGUAAUCAAUUUGAUACUCAGUCAUAUUAUAAUUCAUUUUGCAGCUAGAAUGGUGAUGGCAGAGAGAAAAGAUACAGGGCCAAUCAGGCCGUGUCACGUUAGAGAAGCAUAUAGAAGGCUAAAACAUGAAGGCAAGAUUCCAAAAAAAUCAGUGCCAAGACUUUUCCGUUAGCGGAUGUUGAAGCAACCUGUAGUUUUAGUUCAGGUUAGCUGUCCUCCCUUUGCUUACACCAGUUGAGCCCUUUUAUAUGCCUUUGUUAGAUUUUCAUAAAACCAUAAUUCUUUGCACUUUCAGGUCAAGUUAACAUUGCUACUCACAAAGUUGUGGCAGUUUUGCCCUGUUAAAUGUGGGGUUUGCUUUAAUCAGAGGGAAAAAGUUAACAUUUAUAAAAAUUGACAAGAAAUAGUCUCAAACUAUUUUCAUACUGCUCCGAACCUCGAACUGAAAAUGUGGCUAUUUAAUAACAACAUCAUUAUAUCUGUAAGAACCACACGUCUAUCUAGUCACUGUCUCUUAAAUUAGUUUUUGUAUAACCUACUAAUACUUUGAAUGUGCGAGACUUGGUAUCAUCUAUUGGUAUUGAACGUUUGGAUGCACUCGGACAAAACAGAAAAGAUGGAGUGAUGGACCACAAUACUCCAUCCGCCAUGAUGUUUGAAGGAGGCAAAAUCAACUAAAACUUUUGUUGACUAGAAAAAGAAUCCAAAGGACAGUGCGGAGCAGUUUGGGUGCUCCUCUUUAAUUCUAACGAUUUGAACCAGCCAGCCAUUUUCCUUGCAGAAAGUCGUCGGACACCCUUGUAAAUCUUGGAUGAAAAGCUCAAUGACUGAUUAUUUAGGUUUUCUGGAGCUCAAUAUUACCUUUACAAGGUGAGAUGCUGGGUCUUCUUUGAGAUGCUGGUGAUUAUUCGGAGAAUUAACUUGAAGAGCAUUCAGCCAAGUCGAUGAAUCGUGGUACAUCUUGAAGUACUCAAUUGUACAGUUUUGAGAGUGUAGUACGUUGACUUUCAGCUGUCGCUUUCCUUUUUCCCUGUUCAGAAGGGCAUACUUAGUAGGAAAUGUUAGAAUGUCAAGAACGAUAUGGUUGAUGACCAAAUCUUUAACCAUUGGACAAAAAUACUUUUUACAGCUUUGUUUGGAUGGUUGUUACCUAUUGUAUUGUAUCGUAUUUUUACUUUAAAUAUGAUAUUUGUUUGAUAGGUACUUAAAUUUUA
This is a non-coding RNA of Nicotiana tabacum (common tobacco), 2107 nucleotides long. The record is from RefSeq and is a predicted model, not a curated record. Lineage: Eukaryota; Viridiplantae; Streptophyta; Magnoliopsida; Solanales; Solanaceae.